Long non-coding RNA from Xenopus tropicalis (tropical clawed frog), 1169 nucleotides. RefSeq lists it as uncharacterized. The record is from RefSeq and is a predicted model, not a curated record. The transcript has 2 exons. Lineage: Eukaryota; Metazoa; Chordata; Amphibia; Anura; Pipidae.
UUCAGGUAAUGUAAACAGACCUGCCUAACUACCCUCAAAAGUUCAAAAACUACUUAGGGAUGUCAAUCACAACCUUUGAUGAGCUGCUGGAUAUUUGAAGACCAAAGCUUGUUCGUGCACAGACUUUGAUAAGGUAUCCUGUUUCACCAGAGGAACGAUUGGAUCUAACUCUAAGAUUUUUAGCAACUGGACAGCCCUUUUCGUCACUGUGCUACCAAUUCCUUGUUGGUCGGUCUACUUGCGAGCAGAUUUGGUCAGACCUUCAUGACAUUGUUAUGCCAUGUCCAAAUGAGCAGCAAUGGCAGAAAAUUGCUAUUGAAUUCUACAUGAAAACUCAUUUUCCAAAUUGCUUGGGUGCAUUGGAUGGGAAACAUAUAAGAGUUGUCAUUCCACCAAAUAGUGGAUCAAAGUACUGGAACUAUAAAAAGUGUUUUUCAAUAGUCCUUCUAGCAGUUGUUGAUGGAAACUACUGUUAUUCAGUAAUAGAUGUUGGAGCCUAUGGAAGCACUGGAGAUUCCAGGGCAUUCAAAAAUUCAGUGCUAGGAGAAAAGUUGCAUGAUGGUUCACUAUCCCUUCCCCAGCCCAAUCCAUUACUUGGAACAACAGCACCAGAUUUGCCACUGGUGUUUGUAGGGGAUGAGGCCUAACAGAAAACCUUAUGAGGCCUUAUCCAAGAACUCAAAGAAGUAUAAUGAAAAGACUUUUUAACCAUAGACUUUCAAGAGCACGACGUAUGGUGGAAUGUGCAUUUGGAAUUCUUUCAAACGAGUGGAGAGUUUUUCACACUGCAAUUAACUUGGAGCCUGAUUUUGUGGCCAUCAUCGUAAAGGCAUGUUGCAUCCUUCACAAUUUGGUCCGUCAGCAUGAUGGUUACAUGUAUCAGGACACGCUUUCAGAUGACAUACCUGAUCUUGAAUGGGCAGCUGUGAGAGGUCCUGUUGGAGCGAUGAGAAUUCAUAGUUAUUUUAUGUCGCCAGAUGGAGCAGUACCAUGGCAGUUAAACUGCAUGGAAGCAUUUUGUUUUUCUUUGAAUACUGCACUUUGUCAUAUAAUUCAUAGUGAUGUGUGACUUGUUUAUACAAAUAUGAUUUCUUAUGGAGUUUCGUUUCACAAUAACCUUUUUUUGUAGCACUGCAGUUUCUUUGGGGGUAAACAAAAGAUAUUCUAUA